This 138-nucleotide microRNA precursor is filed under the name Bombyx mori (domestic silkworm). Its description in RNAcentral is "microRNA bmo-mir-3297 precursor". Lineage: Eukaryota; Metazoa; Arthropoda; Insecta; Lepidoptera; Bombycidae. The record is from miRBase by way of RNAcentral.
UUAGUUAUAACGACAAUUGCCUAGCACAUCUAGUCAAAAAUAUUGGAGGCAAACCAUCUGGACCUGGGCCUUUAUUUAAGUCUAGUUUUUUUAACUUAUGCAAUAUUUCUGACUCAGGUAUGAUCAGAGUGUUUAACG